Molecule: ribosomal RNA, 521 nt
Filed under: uncultured Glomeromycotina
Lineage: Eukaryota; Fungi; Glomeromycota
Description: SSU rRNA
Rfam family: Eukaryotic small subunit ribosomal RNA
Source: RNAcentral
AGCAGCCGCGGUAAUUCCAGCUCCAAUAGCGUAUAUUAAAGUUGUUGCAGUUAAAAAGCUCGUAGUUGAACUUCGGGGUUUACCCAUUGGUCAGGCUUAAUUGUCUGCACUGGUGAGAUGAAUCUCUACCUUCUGAGGAACUUUCAUGCCAUUUAUUUGGUGUGAUGGGAAAUCAGGACUGUUACUUUGAAAAAAUUAGAGUGUUUAAAGCAGGCUAACGUCUGAAUACAUUAGCAUGGAAUAAUGAAAUAGGACGGACUGAUUCUAUUUCGUUGGUUUCUAGGAUCACCGUAAUGAUUAAUAGGGAUAGUUGGGGGCAUUAGUAUUCAAUUGUCAGAGGUGAAAUUCUUGGAUUUAUUGAAGACUAACUACUGCGAAAGCAUUUGCCAAGGAUGUUUUCAUUAAUCAAGAACGAAAGUUAGGGGAUCGAAGACGAUCAGAUACCGUCGUAGUCUUAACCAUAAACUAUGCCGACUAGGGAUCGGACGAAGUUAAAAAAAUGACGCGCUCGGCACCUCAUG